RNAcentral lists this ribosomal RNA (2388 nucleotides) under Triticum aestivum (bread wheat). Its description in RNAcentral is "partial small subunit ribosomal RNA". The record is from RNAcentral. Lineage: Eukaryota; Viridiplantae; Streptophyta; Magnoliopsida; Poales; Poaceae.
AUGAAGAGAAAAACUAUGAGUAUGCAUAGUUUUUAUGCAAGCAGUUCAAUUACCCCUCCCCAAAGGCCUGCUCCUCCCCCUACCGAUGUCGAACCUGAACUUGAACCAACUAAUGUGACUGCAAAUCCCCUCCCCUUAAUUGUUGUGGGCACAAUCCCUCCUCCUGAACGCCCAAAUGAAUCCCCAAAUGUUGAGAUGAAUCAUACCACAAUUGAUGAGAGUACAAACCAACCAAGGCAACCUAUACCAGAAUUUCAUCCAAGUCAAAUUAUUUCGGAUCCAGGACUUCGAAUACCAAUAGAAGAUUAUGCUCCUGAAAUUAGAAGUGAUGUGAGACGAGCUUAUUUGUUGAAAGGGAGAAACAAAGCUAUUGGGCAUAAUUUUGAAAAGACAAAGGAUGGUAAAAUUUGGAGAUCCUUUCAACCUGCGUGGUUUGAUACGUAUGAUUGGUUGGAAUAUAGUGUGGAAAAGGAGGCCGCCUUUUGCUACCAUUGCUUUCUUUUCAAGAAACCGUCACAAGCCAUUAGAUUUGGAAAUGAUGUUUUCACAAAAGAUGGUUACACUCGUUGGAAAACAGCCCUAAGUAAUUUCAGGAAGCAUGUUGGUGGUCCAUCUAGUUACCACAACAUUGCUAAGGGAGAUUGUGAUGAUUUCAACAAUCAGAGAGCAAGUGUGGCUACCCAAUUCCGUGUGUACAGCAAGGAGUCUGAGAUAUCUUAUAAAAUCCGCCUAACUGCAUCAUUGGAUUGUGCAAGGUAUCUCAUAGCACAAGGUGAAGCUUUUCGUGGGCAUGACGAAUCCUCCACUUCCAUCAACAAGGGCAAUUUCAGAGAGUUAUUGGACUGGUAUAAGGACAAGAAAGAAGAUGUGAAGGAGGCAUUUGAUAAGGGGCCAGGAAACACACAAAUGAUUUGUUCCGACAUCCAGAAGGACCUUGCUACAGCUUGUGCAAUGGAGGUAACCAAAGUUAUUAAGAAUGACAUUAGAGAUAAGAAUUUCUCAAUACUUAUUGAUGAAGCUAGAGAUUGCUCAAUAAAGGAGCAAAUGGCGGUGAUUGUCAGAUUUCUAGAUGAUCAUGGAGUGCUUCAAGAGCGAUUCCUUGCAAUUAAGCACAUCACAGAUUUUACAUCUGCUGGAAUUAAAAAAGCUUUGGUUGAUGUGUUGGAAUAUCAUGGUUUGUCAACUUCUAGGCUACGUGGUCAGGGUUAUGAUGGUGCUUUCAAUAUGAGAGGAAAUUCAACGGUUUGCAAAAACUGGAAGGAUGCAUUACUUGCCAAACAUCAAGAUGAGUUGUUAGAUUUGAUGGAGAAUGGAAAGAUCACAGCCGGAACCGGGCUGCAUCAAGAAUCUAACAUAACAAGGCCAGGAGAUACUCGUUGGGGCUCACAUCUCAAAACUUUGCUUCGUAUAUUCACAAUGUGGAAUGCUGUGGUGGAGGUGCUAGGAAUUGUUGUGGUUGAUGCCCGAGAACACACAUGUCAAGGUGGAGCUAGAGGUUUGCUUAAAAACAUGGAAUGCUUUGAAUUUGUGUUCAUCAUGUUGUUCUUAAUAAACUUGUUGAGCAACACAAAUCAUCUAUCCCAAGCUUUGCAAAGAAAGAAUCAAAACAUUGUUGAAGCCAUGCGUUUGAUCUUGGAUGUGAAAGAAAGCUUGCAGAGCAUGAGGGACAAUGGGUGGGAGUCUUUAUUCUGCCAAGUCAAGAACUUUUGUGAAACACAUGGUAUUGAUGUGCCAAACAUGGAUGAUCUUGUUGGAGCUAUGGGUCAAUCUGUUCGCACUAAGAAUAAGGUGACUCGACUUCAUUAUUACAAGGUUAGCAUAUUCAAUGUUGCCAUUGAUGCAACUAUCACUGAGAUGAAUCACCGAUUCAAUGAAGUUUCCACCGAGUUAUUGGAUUGUAUGUCUUGUCUUAAUCCAGCAAACAACUUCUCAAAGUUUAACGUUGACAAACUUAUUCGGCUUGCUGAAAUUUAUGAUGAGGACUUCACAGAAGCUGAUCGGUUAAUGCUAGGAGUAGACCUCCCAAGAUUUCUUAUGAACAUUAGGAGAAGUGAAGAGUUUAAUGGAUGUUGGGAUGUGUCCACACUUGCUCGGUUGAUGGUUGAAACAAUGAAACACACAUCUUUCCAGUUGGUAUAUCGCCUCAUUGAGUUGACACUUAUUCUUCCUGUGGCCACUUCAUCCGUUGAGAGAAUAUUUUCAGCAAUGAAGAUAAUCAAGACAGAUUUGCGCAACAAACUAUCAGAUGAUUGGCUAAAUGAUUUGAUGGUGUGCUACUGCGAGAAAGAGAUAUUUAGAAGCAUUCCUGAUGACCAAAUCAUGAUACAAUUCCAGAAAAUGAGGGAUCGGAAAGGACAUUUGCCUCAUGAGUUUCAUGUGAUUUCUUAG